CAUUAAGAAGCUUUCAUAUUAAGCAAUAACCUUUUAAGUUAUAGAUCGGUGAUUUAACCCACCCUUAAUGA
This 71-nucleotide transfer RNA is filed under the name Hynobius yiwuensis. RNAcentral's name for it is "tRNA-Lys". It matches the Rfam family "tRNA". Rfam says of the family: Transfer RNA (tRNA) molecules are approximately 80 nucleotides in length. Their secondary structure includes four short double-helical elements and three loops (D, anti-codon, and T loops). Further hydrogen bonds mediate the characteristic L-shaped molecular structure. tRNAs have two regions of fundamental functional importance: the anti-codon, which is responsible for specific mRNA codon recognition, and the 3' end, to which the tRNAs corresponding amino acid is attached (by aminoacyl-tRNA synthetases). tRNAs cope with the degeneracy of the genetic code in two manners: having more than one tRNA (with a specific anti-codon) for a particular amino acid; and 'wobble' base-pairing, i.e. permitting non-standard base-pairing at the 3rd anti-codon position. Lineage: Eukaryota; Metazoa; Chordata; Amphibia; Caudata; Hynobiidae. The record is from RNAcentral.